UACGAAGGGGGCUAGCGUUGCUCGGAAUCACUGGGCGUAAAGGGCGCGUAGGCGGCCGAUUAAGUCGGGGGUGAAAGCCUGUGGCUCAACCACAGAAUUGCCUCGAUACUGGUUGGCUUGAGACCGGAAGAGGACAGCGGAACUGCGAGUGUAGAGGUGAAAUUCGUAGAUAUUCGCAAGAACACCAGUGGCGAAGGCGGACUCACUGGCCCGAUACUGACGCUGAGGUGCGAAAGCGUGGGGAGCAAACAGG
This 253-nucleotide ribosomal RNA is filed under the name uncultured bacterium. RNAcentral's name for it is "partial 16S ribosomal RNA". It matches the Rfam family "Bacterial small subunit ribosomal RNA", at positions 524 to 776 of the family's 1533-position model. The record is from RNAcentral.